RNAcentral lists this ribosomal RNA (231 nucleotides) under uncultured bacterium. Its description in RNAcentral is "partial 16S ribosomal RNA". It matches the Rfam family "Bacterial small subunit ribosomal RNA", at positions 28 to 262 of the family's 1533-position model. The record is from RNAcentral.
GACGAACGCUGGCGGCGUGCUUAACACAUGCAAGUCGAGCGGUAAGGCCCUUUGGGGUACACGAGCGGCGAACGGGUGAGUAACACGUGAGUAAUCUGCCUUUGGCUUGGGAAUAACUUCGGGAAAUCGGGGCUAAUGCCUGAUGUUUACUGUCUGCUGCAUGGUGGGUGGUGGAAAGAUUUUUUGGCCAGGAGUGAGCUCGCGGUCUAUCAGCUUGUUGGUGGGGUAAGU